CGUUUCCUUGUGCUUGACUGUCCUUUUUUUGAGGUGGGGCUGUAUUUAUCUUUUUAAAAUCAAUCCCUCAUAUCUUAUAUAGUGACUUACACCUAAUUUGUGCUCAGCAGUUGUCAAGUUGAAUUGAAGGAAAAGAAGGGAAGCAAAAUUGUCGAAACUUGGAAGGCAGGGGCCUCCUGGGCAGGCAGGGCAGCUGUAGCCACGAGGCUAUGUUGC
RNAcentral lists this long non-coding RNA (216 nucleotides) under Bos taurus (domestic cattle). RNAcentral's name for it is "long non-coding RNA NONBTAT017972". The record is from RNAcentral. Lineage: Eukaryota; Metazoa; Chordata; Mammalia; Artiodactyla; Bovidae.